RNAcentral lists this RNase P RNA (454 nucleotides) under Afipia massiliensis. RNAcentral describes it as "RNase P RNA component class A". It matches the Rfam family "Bacterial RNase P class A". From Rfam's summary of the family: Ribonuclease P (RNase P) is a ubiquitous endoribonuclease, found in archaea, bacteria and eukarya as well as chloroplasts and mitochondria. Its best characterised activity is the generation of mature 5'-ends of tRNAs by cleaving the 5'-leader elements of precursor-tRNAs. Lineage: Bacteria; Pseudomonadati; Pseudomonadota; Alphaproteobacteria; Hyphomicrobiales; Nitrobacteraceae. The record is from RNAcentral.
UCAGUCGGCCGGACGGCCGCUCCGGCAACGAUCGAAAGGUCGCCGGGGAGGAAAGUCCGGGCUCCAUCGACAUACGGUGCCGGAUAACAACCGGCGGGGGCGACCCCAGGGAAAGUGCCACAGAGAACGAACCGCCUCCCCCACCCUACCCUCCCCCGCUUGCGGGGGAGGGAUAAGGAGGGGGCGGUAAGGGUGAAAAGGUGCGGUAAGAGCGCACCGCAUCUCCGGCAACGGAGAUGGCAUGGCAAACCCCACCGGGAGCAAAACCGAAUAGGGACGGCAUAGCGGACAGUUCGCUCUCGAGCGAUAACUCCGCGGGGCGGUGUCAGGCCCGCUGUCCGGGUAGGUUGCUCGAGGCGCAAGGCAACUUGCGUCCCAGAGGAAUGGCCGUCACGUCUGCGUGGUGUAAACCAUUCAGGCCCUACAGAACCCGGCUUACAGGCUGGCUGAUCGA